UACGACUACAUAUCAGGCAUAUCAAUAAGCGGAGGAAAAGAAACUAACAAGGAUUCCCCUAGUAACGGCGAGUGAAGCGGGAAGAGCUCAAAUUUGAAAUCUUAAAGGGUUCUACCUUGACGAAUUGUAGUUUAAAGAAGUGUUUUCUGUUAGAUGAGUAGCAAAAGUUCCUUGGAAUGGGACAUCAUAGAGGGUGAGAAUCCCGUAUUUGACGUUAUUCAUUCUAGCUGUGUGAUACACUUUCAAAGAGUCGGAUUGUUUGGGAAUGCAGUCCAAGAUGGGUGGUAAAUUUCAUCUAAAGCUAAAUAUUGGCGAGAGACCGAUAGCGAACAAGUACCGUGAGGGAAAGAUGAAAAGAACUUUGAAAAGAGAGUUAAACAGUACGUGAAAUUGUCAAAAGGGAAGCGUUUGACACCAGUGUUGUUUUUCCGAAAAUCAAUUACGAAUGGCUUGAUUUUGUGUUGUAUUGACCUUAUCAGCUUUCUGCACUUUUUUCGAGUCUUUCUUAAUGCACUUUUCGGUUAACAAGUCAACAUCAAUUUCUUUUGUUGUAAAAGAGUAUUCGGAAGGUGGCUUUCUUUUCGGAGAAAGUGUUUAUAGCCCUAUACUUCUACAAUCGGAGAGACUGAGGUCUGCAGCGUAGAUCCUUCGGGGUUAGAUACACUUGUGCUAAGUUGUAGCUUUUCAUAGACAACUUGUUGACUAUGUUUAGUCUUGCGGCUUACUCGCUUGUGCUAUUUUACCUACGCUUAGGAUGUUGAGUAGCGACAUACGCAC
RNAcentral lists this ribosomal RNA (777 nucleotides) under uncultured Neocallimastigales. RNAcentral's name for it is "partial large subunit ribosomal RNA". It matches the Rfam family "Eukaryotic large subunit ribosomal RNA", at positions 24 to 649 of the family's 3401-position model. Lineage: Eukaryota; Fungi; Neocallimastigomycota; Neocallimastigomycetes; Neocallimastigales. The record is from RNAcentral.